CCUACGGGAGUCUGCAGUGAGGAAUAUUGGUCAAUGGGAGAGAUCCUGAACCAGCCAAGCCGCGUGAGGGAAGACGGCCCUAUGGGUUGUAAACCUCUUUUGUCGGAGAACAAAACCCGGGACGUGUCCCGGACUGCGUGUAUCCGAAGAAACAGCAUCGGCUAACUCCGUGCCAGCAGCCGCGGUAAUACGGAGGAUGCGAGCGUUAUCCGGUUUUAUUGGGUUUAAGGGGUGCGUAGGCGGUCCGUUAAGUCAGCGGGAAAAUUGCGGGGCUCAACCCCGUCGAGCCGUUGAAACUGGCAGACUUGAGUUGGCGAGAAGUACGCGGAAUGCGCGGUGUAGCGGUGAAAUGCAUAGAUAUCGCGCAGAACUCCGAUUGCGAAGGCAGCGUACCGGCGCCAGACUGACGCUGAGGCACGAAAGCGUGGGGAUCGAACAGGAUUAGAUACCCGUGUAGUC
RNAcentral lists this ribosomal RNA (459 nucleotides) under uncultured bacterium. Its description in RNAcentral is "partial 16S ribosomal RNA". It matches the Rfam family "Bacterial small subunit ribosomal RNA", at positions 338 to 795 of the family's 1533-position model. The record is from RNAcentral.